Molecule: ribosomal RNA, 890 nt
Filed under: Mycolicibacterium sp.
Lineage: Bacteria; Bacillati; Actinomycetota; Actinomycetes; Mycobacteriales; Mycobacteriaceae
Description: bacterial SSU rRNA
Rfam family: Bacterial small subunit ribosomal RNA
Source: RNAcentral
GCAAGUCGAACGGAAAGGCCCUUCGGGGUACUCGAGUGGCGAACGGGUGAGUAACACGUGGGUGAUCUGCCCUGCACUUUGGGAUAAGCCUGGGAAACUGGGUCUAAUACCGAAUAUGACCGCGCACUUCCUGGUGUGUGGUGGAAAGCUUUUGCGGUGUGGGAUGGGCCCGCGGCCUAUCAGCUUGUUGGUGGGGUAAUGGCCUACCAAGGCGACGACGGGUAGCCGGCCUGAGAGGGUGACCGGCCACACUGGGACUGAGAUACGGCCCAGACUCCUACGGGAGGCAGCAGUGGGGAAUAUUGCACAAUGGGCGCAAGCCUGAUGCAGCGACGCCGCGUGAGGGAUGACGGCCUUCGGGUUGUAAACCUCUUUCAAUAGGGACGAAGCGCAAGUGACGGUACCUAUAGAAGAAGGACCGGCCAACUACGUGCCAGCAGCCGCGGUAAUACGUAGGGUCCGAGCGUUGUCCGGAAUUACUGGGCGUAAAGAGCUCGUAGGUGGUUUGUCGCGUUGUUCGUGAAAACUCACAGCUUAACUGUGGGCGUGCGGGCGAUACGGGCAGACUAGAGUACUGCAGGGGAGACUGGAAUUCCUGGUGUAGCGGUGGAAUGCGCAGAUAUCAGGAGGAACACCGGUGGCGAAGGCGGGUCUCUGGGCAGUAACUGACGCUGAGGAGCGAAAGCGUGGGGAGCGAACAGGAUUAGAUACCCUGGUAGUCCACGCCGUAAACGGUGGGUACUAGGUGUGGGUUUCCUUCCUUGGGAUCCGUGCCGUAGCUAACGCAUUAAGUACCCCGCCUGGGGAGUACGGCCGCAAGGCUAAAACUCAAAGAAAUUGACGGGGGCCCGCACAAGCGGCGGAGCAUGUGGAUUAAUUCGAUGCAACGC